Coregonus clupeaformis (lake whitefish) is the source of this 261-nucleotide long non-coding RNA. RefSeq lists it as uncharacterized. The transcript is spliced from 3 exons. The record is from RefSeq and is a predicted model, not a curated record. NCBI's taxonomy places the organism in Eukaryota, Metazoa, Chordata, Actinopteri, Salmoniformes, Salmonidae.
AGGACCAUGGAUCAGCUAAUUACGGAGAUCCCGCUAAAAGAAAUCUGCACAGAUGCACAUGUUCAGAUUUCUGCUCUAAGGAACCCAUUGAAAGGAAAAUAUAAAGACAGCGGAAUACAGCGCUCUCUCGAUAUGUGGCAUGGAGCCAAGAAACUGUCCAAGAAAAUCCAUGCAGACCUGUGGAGAGGUGUUAUUCACCAUGUGGUGAAUGAACACACAUGGACACUGGGACAUUGUGAACAUGACUGCCUGUGGGACAAC